CCUACGGGUGGCAGCAGUGAGGAAUAUUGGUCAAUGGACGAGAGUCUGAACCAGCCAAGUAGCGUGAAGGAUGACUGCCCUAUGGGUUGUAAACUUCUUGUAUAGGGGAAUAAAAUGUUACACGUGUGGGAUGUUGUAUGUACCAUAGGAAUAAGGAUCGGCUAACUCCGUGCCAGCCGCCGCGGUAAUACGGAGGAUCCGAGCGUUAUCCGGAUUUAUGGGGUUGAAAGGGAGCGUAGGUGGAUUGUUAAGUCAGUGGUGAAAUUUUGCGGCUCAACCGUAAAAUUGCAGUUGAAACUGGCAUUCUUUAGUCCAGUAGCGGUGGGCGGACUUCGUGGUGUCGC
RNAcentral lists this ribosomal RNA (344 nucleotides) under uncultured bacterium. RNAcentral describes it as "partial 16S ribosomal RNA". It matches the Rfam family "Bacterial small subunit ribosomal RNA", at positions 338 to 679 of the family's 1533-position model. The record is from RNAcentral.